AUAAAAGCUACCCCGGGGAUAACAGGCUGGUGAUGCCCGAGAGUCCAUAUCGACGGCAUCGCUCGGCACCUCGAUGUCGGCUCACCCUAUCCUGGGGCUGAAGAAGGUCCCAAGGGUUUGGCUGUUCGCCAAUUAAAAGGGUACGUGAGCUGGGUUCAAACCGUCGUGAGACAGGUUGGUCUCUAUCUACUGUCAGCGUGGAUACUUGAGGGAAGUCGGCUCUAGUAAAUUAAAUUGCUACUUUCCGAAGUAAUUCGGAUUGAAAAUUCGACUAAUAACGGUGAAAUCUUAAUGACUAUUGUUUUCGGUCCUACAUUUAUGGUACAAUUCACUUGAGGACCAUAAAAUCAUUAAGAUAAUACCGUGGGAAGUCAAUCUAAAAUUAAUUUUGCCUAUAUCGCUGGAUUUCUUGAUGGUGACGGAAGCUUAAUGUUGCAAAUAAAAAAACGCAAAGACGGCAAUAAAUCAAGAAAGCGCUUUAUGGUUACUAUCUGUUUUUAUCAAGAUAGUCGCCACGAAAAACCGCUUCAUUGGAUCCGUGAUAUCCUUAAUAUCGGUUAUAUCUCCAGAAGAAAUGAUGGAAUCACCGAAUUGAGAAUAAACGGCUAUAAACAGAUUCAAAGAAUACUGCAAAAUUUAUUGCCAUUCAUUAAAUUCAAGAAAAUUCAGGCGAAAAUUCUUUUGGAUUCGGCAAAAUUGCUCCAAAAAAGCAAAUUAGCAAAGAAGGAAUUAAAAAGAUUAGUUAAUAAUAUUCUGAAAAUUCAGUCAGAAAAUUAUGUAACUAAAAGGAAGAAAACCGAGAAAGAGUUGCUAAAAAUUUUAGGAUUGACCCCGUAACGACUGGAUUCCGCCAGUGGGCGGAUGAAGAUAAUAUCAUUUUUGAUGUUAUAAUACGUCGACCCCCGACCGCGGUCGGGGUGAAGAUAUAGUCUACACUUCUAGUAAUAGAAGAUUAUGUGACGAGAGGAUCGAGCUGAACGAACCUCUGGCUUACCGGCUUUGGUACCAACUGAAACGCCGGGUAACUAUGUUCGGACGGGAUAAACGUUGAAAGCAUCUAAACGCGAAGCCCCUCCCAAGAUUAAGUAUCGCUAAAUAAUUUAUUAUUUAGGUGGCCCCCAGAAGACUACUGGGUUGAUAGGCUUUAGGUGUAAGCGCCGCGAGGCGUUUAGCCGAGAAGUACUAAUAAGCCA
This 1193-nucleotide ribosomal RNA is filed under the name Candidatus Niyogibacteria bacterium RIFCSPLOWO2_02_FULL_45_13. Its description in RNAcentral is "bacterial LSU rRNA". It matches the Rfam family "Bacterial large subunit ribosomal RNA", at positions 2456 to 2911 of the family's 2925-position model. Lineage: Bacteria; Candidatus Niyogiibacteriota. The record is from RNAcentral.